GACGAACGCUGGCGGCGUGCUUAACACAUGCAAGUCGAGCGGUAAGGCCCUUUCGGGGGUACACGAGCGGCGAACGGGUGAGUAACACGUGGGUGACCUGCCCUCAGCUCUGGGAGUAAGCCUGGGAAACCGGGUCUAAUACCGGAUAUGACUCCAUGACGCAUGUUGUGGGGUGGAAAGCCUUGUGCGGCUGAGGAUGGGCCCGCGGCCUAUCAGCUUGUUGGUGGGGUGAUGGCCUACCAAGGCGACGACGGGUAGCCGGCCUGAGAGGGCGACCGGCCACACUGGGACUGAGACACGGCCCAGACUCCUACGGGAGGCAGCAGUGGGGAAUCUUGCGCAAUGGGCGAAAGCCUGACGCAGCGACGCCGCGUGAGGGAUGACGGCCU
Molecule: ribosomal RNA, 389 nt
Filed under: uncultured bacterium
Lineage: Bacteria
Description: bacterial SSU rRNA
Rfam family: Bacterial small subunit ribosomal RNA
Source: RNAcentral